AGAAAGUCAUGAUGGGACGAACGGUAAUAAAUAUUGGCUUGAGGAGCCAUUACGGGGGACGGUGGUAAAGCGGGAGAGUAGUGAAAACCAUAGAAAAUCUAGAGGAGAAUUACACAAAAAACAAAAGGCAUAGGCACAAUCAUGGAAUAGAAACGGGGAGACUUGAGGAAUCGAUGCACGGUUAGUAUUUAUAUUUUUAGGGUUGCCAUUUAUUUGGUGUACUCAUUAUGCCUACAUGUUCAUGAGCAUUUAGAGGUGCUAACUGCUAAGUCUUGUACUCCUUCUCAUUAACAUUCAUGGUUUAUUGUACUUACUGAAAUAUGUCAUUUAUCUUGAGGAGGGAGUUUCUUUGGGAGAAGCUUCUGAAGUGUCGUCUGUUAGGUGGUCGACCCGAUCCCUCAAUAACUGAAUGUAUUGUCCUCGUGUUGAAUUUUGUCCUCGUGUUGAGUUUUAUCCCUAGCUUCCACAAAGAGUUGUGUACGGUUCACGGAGGGGAUGCCUCGAUUAGUGGAGAUAGAUACUUGCAAAACUUGGGAAAUGUGUCGGUAUAGGGUGCAUGAAUAACAAUAGAGGUACUUAAGUGUACUUCAACCAAAGCUUAAAGGCAACAUGUUUGCAAACAUGGUACCUCUUGAGCUAAAGUGGUACCUUGGUUGCAAGUAAGGGCCCUAUAAGCCUCAAGUUGGUGGUUCGAGUCACCUCGUGCUUAGGUACCUUUAUUAUUAUUCACAUAACCCAUAUUGACACCUUCCUUGAACCUUGUAAGUACCCCCAACUGAGGCAUGCCCCUUUGUGAAGUUUGCACGAGGAGAGAGAUGUAACGAGACACUCAAUAAUUAUUCACCAUUAAAGAAUAUCAUUUUAGGAAUGAAAUAAUUGUGAAUUUUAACGGGUGUUGCAAGAAAUUGUUUGGUUUAAAAAUAAAUAAAUUUCAUUUGUAACUAAAUUGAUUUUAUGAUUUCUUUUAGAUAUCAAAUCUAAAGUCAUUAUUUCGAAAUAGAAGAUAAUACAUGAAUAAAACUUGAAUUUUGUUUUCACAGAUAAAAAAUGAUUUUUUAACAAUUAUUAAAUUGAUUUUAAAAUUUUAUUAAAAAGAUUACGGGCAAAAUAUUAAAAAAGUCCUUAUUUUUUAAAAUUUACCGAAAUUGGCUCGGUAUUUUAUUAUUUACCGGAAUGGGCCAUUUUCUCCGAAAUCGCGUCCACGUCAGCGCGAUGUCAGGGGACGUGUCAGCAAAUCGCGUCUACGUUAGCGCGAUUUGCUUAUGUGGACACAAAUCGCGCCUACGAGGACGUGAUUUGCUGACACGUCCCCUGACAUCGCGCUGAAGUGGACGCGAUUUCGGAGAAAAUGACCCAUUCCGGUAAAUAAUAAAAUAUCGGGCCUAUUUCGGUAAAUUUAAAAAAAAUAGGGCUUUUAUGUGUAAUUUGCCCCCUUUUUUUGGUAUUUUGCCCCUAAUAAUACAUAUUAAUGUAUUACUGUAAUAUGUAGCUCAAAUUAUAUAUUGUAGUUAAUAUUCAUAAUAUUGUAGCUCAAAUUGUCAAUCCGUCUAUACUAUUGUACUAAUAAUAUAUAUUAAUGUAAUAUUGAAGAGUUAAUUGAUUAAAAAAAUAAAUGCAACAAGUACAAAAAAGAUCCAAAAUUAUUACCAACAAGAUUUGAACCAAGGUACUAAGGGAAAAGAGCAAGCAUCUUAACCAACUAAGCUAAACUAAUUAACUAAUAUAUUAUAAAAAUACUGUUAUUAUCUUAAUUAUAUUACUUACGUUCUAAUGAUUUAUCGGACCUAUUCCAUACACGUGUCAAAUCAGAAAAAAUAAUACAACAAUUCUGUAAAAAAAAUUUGGUGUUUACUUCAAAUAAAUAAGGAAAAUAAUGAUUUGAAUGUUUCAAAAUUCAAUUUUAAACCGAAAAAAUCAAAAUUUAGAGGUAAAAAAGGAUCUUUUUCGACGAAAAUUGCGGCAAACCGCCUUCGGCUGUUUGUCAGCGCGUAGAUCUCGAAAAGUUAUUCGAAAUAAAAAAAAUCGUCUCAAUCGGACAACGAGCCAAAAGUUAUGGCCUUUCAAAGUUUUCCAAGCUAAAAAACACAAAUUGUUCAUGAAUUAUUGCUUCCACGUCAGCAAAUCGCGCUUACGUGGACUCGAUUUGUUGCCACGUAAGUAAUCGCGCUGACGUGGACGCGAUUUUCUGACACAUCCCCUAACAUCGCGCUGACGUGGACGCAAUUUCGGGAAAAAUGGCCCAUUCCGGUAAAUAAUAAAAUACCGGGCCCAUUUCGAUAAAUUUUAAAAAAUAGGACUUUUAUGUGUAAUUUACCCAAAGAUUACAUUUAAAAAAAAAUGGUGACAAGUUCAUAUUUCUUAAAAUCCGUGAAACCGUGAGGACAGGUGUUGUGAUGGGAUGACCAUCACUCAUCUCAAAGUGAUCACGUAAAUAAAAAACACAUGCUGAUUUCAGGACAGAAGUAGAUCGGUAGACAUGCAAAUCAUUUCAAGCCUACAUUAGGAAGGCUUUUAAUAGAAAAAAUGGUACCAAUUUGAUGAACCAUAUUCUCCGAAUGUUUGAUGUUAGAGUAAGAUCAUCUAUGUAGACGAUAAUGUGAGAAAUGAUACCAUCUGGAGUUGUUUGAGAUUGUAGAGGGCACAAAGCCAGCGAGGAGGUUGCUCAAUGAAACCUUGGAAGGCAUUUAUUCAUUCAGGUCGAGUUGGCAAAGAGUAAGAAAGAGACAGGUAAGUCAUUAUGUGCAGACAAUGUAUCAAGGUCAUCCCCACAAUUCUUGUCGGACAUUUUGUUUGGAGAUCAAGUCAUGCUUUGCUACGUCUCUUGAGUUGGGCCGUCAAGUGGUGUUCUGCUAUUAGCUGCUAGUUUCAUCAAAAUUUUGACCAACUUAAUCAUGUCCUCAUUCAUAAUUUUUUAGUCAAUUUUUUUAUGAUUCCAUACUGAUAUUCAAUAACAUAGCACCAUGUGACUGGAUAAAAUUAAGAUAUAUGGAAAAUAUUAUUUGAAAAUAGAUUUUUUUUUUAAAAUUACAAUAUAAAAAUUUAUAAAAAGAAUAUAUAAAAGAAAAAUUCAAGAAAAAAUCUAAAAGCCAGAAUUUUUUUAAAAGUUUCUUUAAAAAUAAUUUUUAUAUUAUUAUUUUUUAAUAUUAUAAAAAAUACGCGAUUAAGAUUUGAAUAUGG
Molecule: long non-coding RNA, 3177 nt
Filed under: Gossypium barbadense (sea-island cotton)
Lineage: Eukaryota; Viridiplantae; Streptophyta; Magnoliopsida; Malvales; Malvaceae
Description: long non-coding RNA (GBAR_LNC018415)
Source: RNAcentral